AGAGUUUGAUCCUGGCUCAGGAUGAACGCUGGCGGCGUGCUUAACACAUGCAAGUCGAACGAAACACCUUAUUUGAUUUUCUUCGGAACUGAAGAUUUGGUGAUUGAGUGGCGGACGGGUGAGUAACGCGUGGGUAACCUGCCCUGUACAGGGGGAUAACAGUCAGAAAUGACUGCUAAUACCGCAUAAGACCACAGCACCGCAUGGUGCAGGGGUAAAAACUCCGGUGGUACAGGAUGGACCCGCGUCUGAUUAGCUGGUUGGUGAGGUAACGGCUCACCAAGGCGACGAUCAGUAGCCGGCUUGAGAGAGUGAACGGCCACAUUGGGACUGAGACACGGCCCAAACUCCUACGGGAGGCAGCAGUGGGGAAUAUUGCACAAUGGAGGAAACUCUGAUGCAGCGACGCCGCGUGAAGGAUGAAGUAUCUCGGUAUGUAAACUUCUAUCAGCAGGGAAGAUAGUGACGGUACCUGACUAAGAAGCCCCGGCUAACUACGUGCCAGCAGCCGCGGUAAUACGUAGGGGGCAAGCGUUAUCCGGAUUUACUGGGUGUAAAGGGAGCGUAGACGGUGUGGCAAGUCUGAUGUGAAAGGCAUGGGCUCAACCUGUGGACUGCAUUGGAAACUGUCAUACUUGAGUGCCGGAGGGGUAAGCGGAAUUCCUAGUGUAGCGGUGAAAUGCGUAGAUAUUAGGAGGAACACCAGUGGCGAAGGCGGCUUACUGGACGGUAACUGACGUUGAGGCUCGAAAGCGUGGGGAGCAAACAGAAUAAGAUACCCUGGUAGUCCACGCCGUAAACG
Molecule: ribosomal RNA, 802 nt
Filed under: uncultured bacterium
Lineage: Bacteria
Description: bacterial SSU rRNA
Rfam family: Bacterial small subunit ribosomal RNA
Source: RNAcentral